GCGGGUGUAGCUCAGGGGUAGAGCACUUGCUUCCCAAGCAAGGUGUCACGGGUUCGAAUCCCGUUACCCGCU
RNAcentral lists this transfer RNA (72 nucleotides) under Anaerolineaceae bacterium. RNAcentral's name for it is "tRNA-Gly". It matches the Rfam family "tRNA". Rfam says of the family: Transfer RNA (tRNA) molecules are approximately 80 nucleotides in length. Their secondary structure includes four short double-helical elements and three loops (D, anti-codon, and T loops). Lineage: Bacteria; Bacillati; Chloroflexota; Anaerolineae; Anaerolineales; Anaerolineaceae. The record is from RNAcentral. RNAcentral also lists the same sequence under 3 other names.